This is a long non-coding RNA of Quercus robur (English oak), 815 nucleotides long. RefSeq lists it as uncharacterized. The transcript is spliced from 5 exons. The record is from RefSeq and is a predicted model, not a curated record. Lineage: Eukaryota; Viridiplantae; Streptophyta; Magnoliopsida; Fagales; Fagaceae.
UCUAAGCCGUCACUCUUCUUCUCUCUCUCCAUCCUCAUCAGCCAUCCUCACCAGUCGCCGCCGCCGCCAGAGCUCUUUGGCUCUCUCUCUCAAUCGAGUGCGGGCCAUUUUCAGGAAGGAGUAGGCCAGCCGUUCAUCUACUGACCACACCGACGAGAGGAAGUGCCUUUGCAAAUGUCGCCGAUUGAAGCCCAUUUUUAGAGAAUGGUGUCCUUGCUUAAAGUGAACCAUCAGCAACACUUUGCAGUUUUCUCCAGUGGUAUUAGACCCAAUAACAAGACCUUUCAUCGCAAGUCAUCUUUCAUCUCAAUGUCUUCCUGGUCAUCCACAACAAUUCAACAUCUUCACAAUACAGUGUCACCAUCUUCGAAUCACAGCCUCAACAUUCCCAUCAUGGCUGGACAUAAGUAUUGUUUGUUGGGCAAGCUUUCAUCUGAGGUUGGAUGGAACCACAAUGACACUUUUAAGAUUGUAAAAAGAAAAUGCAUUACAAGUUCGUGUGAACAAAGCAAGUGAACUUGUUUGUGUUAGACUUAAGGAUGUUCCUCCAAUCCAACAAUCUCCACAUAUCCAAAAAUCAUCAACUGCAUCCCAUCACCAAAGAAGCUUAUAGAUUUUAUCUUGGUGUUCGAGGACUCUUUUGUGUAUAAAGAACUUCAUUGCUACAACCGCAUUUUUUGCAAGUGUUGGAGGAUAUUUGUAAACAUUUUGGAACUUUGAUUAUAGUAUUAGCUUGGAACUUUAAUGAUGGUUAUAGAAAAUAUUAUGUAUUUGAUAAUAUAUUUCCAUGUUAAUAUAAUGUUAGUUUGGAGACA